UACGAAGGAUGCAAGCGUUAUCCGGAUUUAUUGGGCUUAAAGGGUGCGUAGGCGGUCUUAUAAGUCAGUGGUGAAAUCUCGUUGCUUAACAACGAACGUGCCAUUGAUACUGUAGGUCUUGAGUACAGAUGCCGUUGGCGGAAUGUGUCAUGUAGCGGUGAAAUGCAUAGAUAUGACACAGAACACCGAUUGCGAAGGCAGCUGACGAAACUGUAACUGACGCUGAGGCGCGAAAGCGUGGGGAUCAAACAGG
Molecule: ribosomal RNA, 253 nt
Filed under: uncultured bacterium
Lineage: Bacteria
Description: partial 16S ribosomal RNA
Rfam family: Bacterial small subunit ribosomal RNA
Source: RNAcentral